RNAcentral lists this ribosomal RNA (409 nucleotides) under Roseibium denhamense. RNAcentral describes it as "bacterial SSU rRNA". It matches the Rfam family "Bacterial small subunit ribosomal RNA", at positions 370 to 797 of the family's 1533-position model. The record is from RNAcentral. Lineage: Bacteria; Pseudomonadati; Pseudomonadota; Alphaproteobacteria; Hyphomicrobiales; Stappiaceae.
GAUGGGCGCAGCCUGAUCAGCCAUGCCGCGUGAGUGAUGAAGGCCCUAGGGUUGUAAAGCUCUUUCAGCGAGGAGGAUAAUGACGUUACUCGCAGAAGAAGCCCCGGCUAACUUCGUGCCAGCAGCCGCGGUAAUACGAAGGGGGCUAGCGUUGUUCGGAAUCACUGGGCGUAAAGCGCACGUAGGCGGACUGAUCAGUCAGGGGUGAAAUCCCGGGGCUCAACCCCGGAACUGCCUUUGAUACUGUCAGUCUUGAGUCCGAGAGAGGUGAGUGGAACUCCGAGUGUAGAGGUGAAAUUCGUAGAUAUUCGGAAGAACACCAGUGGCGAAGGCGGCUCACUGGCUCGGUACUGACGCUGAGGUGCGAAAGCGUGGGGAGCAAACAGGAUUAGAUACCCCCGGUAGUCAA